UACGUAGGUGGCAAGCGUUGUCCGGAAUUACUGGGCGUAAAGCGUGCGCAGGCGGUUGUGCAAGACAGAUGUUAAAUCCCCGGGCUUAACCUGGGAACUGCAUUUGUGACUGCACGGCUAGAGUGUGUCAGAGGGGGGUAGAAUUCCACGUGUAGCAGUGAAAUGCGUAGAGAUGUGGAGGAAUACCGAUGGCGAAGGCAGCCCCCUGGGAUAACACUGACGCUCAUGCACGAAAGCGUGGGGAGCAAACAGG
RNAcentral lists this ribosomal RNA (253 nucleotides) under uncultured bacterium. RNAcentral describes it as "partial 16S ribosomal RNA". It matches the Rfam family "Bacterial small subunit ribosomal RNA", at positions 524 to 776 of the family's 1533-position model. The record is from RNAcentral.